GGAAAGACCCCGUGCACCUUUACUAUAAUUAUGCAUUGUAAUAAGAUUUUUUUUGUAUAGCAUAAGUAGAAGUUUAAGAUGUUUUUACGAAAGUAAAUAGUGUAAACACCAGUGAAAUACUACUCUUAAAAAAUUUUAUUACUAAUUAAAUUAAAGACAAAUGUAUAAUGGGUAGUUUGACUGGGGCGGUCGCCUCCUAAAGAGUAACGGAGGCGUGCAAUGGUAAAUUCAAUUCGAUAAUAUUGCGAAUUUAGAGCAUAAUAGUAUAUAUUUGCCUGAUUGUAAGAUUGACAAAUCGAACAAGGACGUAAGUCGGUUAUAGUGAUCCGGUGAUUCUUAGUGGAAAGAUCAUCGCUCAACGAAUAAAAGGUACGCCGGGGAUAACAGGCUAAUCACUCCCUAGAGACCCUAUCGACGGAGUGGUUUGGCACCUCGAUGUUGGAUUAUCACAUCCUGGAAUUGUAAGUGAUUCCAAGGGUUUGGCUGUUCGCCAAGUAAGGUGGUACAUGAUCUGAGUUCAGAACGUCGUGAGACAGUUUGGUCCCUAUCUACCGUAGGUGUAAGAAAAUUGAAAGAAUUAAACCCUAGUACGAGAGGACCGGGAAAAAUAAAUCAAUGGUGGAUCGGUUGUUAAACCUAUUAGCACAGCCGAGUAGCUACAUUUAUAAUAGAUAAUUGCUGAAAGCAUCUAAGCAAGAAACUAGUCUUGAAAAAAAUUUUCUUUAAAAGAUGUAUUAGACUAAUACAUUGGAUAGGCUUGAUGUAAAAGAAUUGCAAAAUUUUAAGCUAACAAGUACUAAUCUUU
Molecule: ribosomal RNA, 805 nt
Filed under: Leptocylindrus danicus
Lineage: Eukaryota; Bacillariophyta; Leptocylindrophyceae; Leptocylindrales; Leptocylindraceae
Description: partial Bacterial large subunit ribosomal RNA
Rfam family: Bacterial large subunit ribosomal RNA
Source: RNAcentral